ACACACACACACACACACACUCCUUUUCUCAUACUAUCUUCCAUCAUGUUCUAUCCCAAGAGAUUGGAUAUUAAUUCCCUGUGCUGUUAUGAUAGGACUUUAUUGCUUGUCUACUCUAAAUGCGAUAGUUUGCAUUUACCAGCCCUAAACUCCCAGUCCCUCCCGCUUCCUCCUUUUUAAGUGUUCAGUUGAGUGGCAUUAAAUACAUUCACCUUGUUGUGCAAGCAUCACACGAUCCAUCUUCAGAAUGUUCUCAUCAUCCCCCACUGAAACUGUACCCAUUAAACACUAACUCCCCAUCCCCUGCCUCUUCUCCAGCCCCUGGUUACCACCGCUCUACUUUCUUGCUGUCCUUAUGACUCUUCCUGGUACUUAUAUACAUACAUACUAAUAUACAUAAUUCCUGGUACAUAAUAUACAUACUCUCUGUAUGAUUCUAAAUGGAAUCACACAAUAUUUGUCCUUUUGUAACUGGCUUAUUUUACUUGGCAUAAUGUCCUCAAGGUUCAUCCAUGUUGUAGCAUGUAUCAGAAUUUCAUUCCUUUUUAAAGCUGAAUAACAUUCAUAUUAUUCAUAAUUUAUAUAUAUAUGUUAUAUCUAUAUAACACAUUUUGUUUAUCCAUUCAUUCAUUGAUGGACAUUUGGGUUGUUCAUACCUUUUGGCUAUUGUAAAUAAUGCUACCUGAACAUGGGUUACAGAUAUGUGUUUGAGUCCCUGCUUUCAAUUCUUUUGUGUAUAUACCCAGAAGGAGACUUGCUGGAUCGUAUGAUAAUUCUACUUUUGAUUUUUUGAAGAACCACCAUUCUGUUUUCCACAAUGGCUGCACCAUUUUUCAUUCCCAGUGGGUAGUUUUUCCUAGGCUGCCUUAUUGACUUGCAGAAUAAGGCAGAAGUAACAGGAUGUUAGCUCCAAUGUCAGGUUAUAAAAGGCUUGUCCUGGGCACUCCUUGAAUCUGCUGACUCUGAGGGAAGCAAACUGCCAUGUUGUAAGCUACCCUGUGGAGAGCCCCACACAGCAAGGAACUAAGGUAUCCAGCCAACAGCCAAGAAGCACCCAAGGCUGCCAACAGCCACAUGUGUGCUUUUGGAAGCAGACCAUCCCCUCUCAAGCCUUGAGACGACUCUAGCCCCUGUGGACAGUGCAGCCUUGAGGGAGACCUUGAGCCAGAGACCUCCAUCUAAGCCGUGCCUGGAUUCCUGACCCCAAAGAACUGUGAGAUUAUAAGUGUUCACUUGAGCUUCUAAGUUUGGGGUAUCAUCUGCUAAGUAGCAAUAGGUAACUGAUAUAGUGAGGCUAGAUAAAGGUUUAUUAAGAAGAGAGAAAGUAAAUGGGUUUGUAUGCUGCUGCAAAUCAUCUUGUAGAAGGAAAAAUCCAGGAGAGAGAGGAGAGAACUGUGGAGGUGAUGCCCUUUGUUAGAGGGGAUGCGAUCUUGUGGACAGGAGAGGGACUGGCUUUAAACAGAAGCCAAAGUUCAUCUACACAAUGAGAGGGUGAAUUCCCUAGAGAAAUACCACGUGACGUUUGCGGUCAUGCAUCUAAAGUGAAACCAGCAAGAAAGUCUGUGUGAUUUUUCUCCAGCCGCAUUUAGCUGCCCGGAUUUGGACAUGGAGUCAGUGAUGCUGGACUGAACCAGGGAUUCUGUUGCCAGGAAAAGAUGACAUAGCUAAAGGAAACAAAGGGUUGAUAGUAUUCUACACACAGUGUGUACUAUAUACUCCAAGGGUUGUAGUACUUGUAAUAGUAGGUAACAUGUGGCACAUAUCGUGUAAUAUGUAUGCUACAUGGUAUUCUAUAGUAUUACAAUGGUUGGCCAUGGAUAGUGACAUGGUAGAAUCAAUUAACCGAGGUCCCAGUGGGGACAAAGGAUUGUUGGAGUUAGGGUACUUUAGAGAAAGACCCUGGUGAUUAGAGGGUUGAUACAGAAAUCGAGAUGAGGGAUGGAGUGCAGUUAUAGGAGACACCUAUGAGAGAGAGUGACUGAGAGAGGGUGGAGGGCAGGUUGUUGGAAGAAAGAAGUUCAAGGAACUAAAACACCAAAGGUAUGGGGGGGAGGGGGGAUGGAUCAUCUAUACUGAAACUGCAACACGGAGAGGGAGUAGAAAUAAAUUAUAAAGAGGCUAUUAAUGAAAAUGUAUUUUUAUUGGUGACAUCAUUAAAAAAAUCUACAACCAAAUUGCAAAAACAAUAGAACUUAAUGGCAAACACUCUCUGUUUGGCACUAUCUAUUCAAAGUAGUUUAUGUAGCUUAACUCAUUGAAUCCUCAGAACCACUCUGUGAGGUAAGUAUUGUUCUUGUUCCCAACUGACAGAUGAGGAAACUGGCACAGAGAAGUUAAGCUGGAGUUGGAGGAGUUGAGAUUUUAGCCCUAUCCAUCUAGUCUGGAGUCCUUUCUUUUUAUCACUACACUGUACUGCUUCCCUCUGCCCCCUUCGUCAAUUCUCUCUUCUCUAGAGAGUUCCUAAGGUAGCAGGGUCAAUGUGUCACCAAAUAGGAUAUGAUCUUGAAUUCAUUGUUGUGCUUGCUUGUGUGUUAAUCUUGCCUCCACAACUAAGAGCUCAGAUACACCUGUAAUUCUCACUGCCCUCCUCUGAGCCCACAUGCAUGCACACACACACUCCCAUGUGAACACACACACACAUGCUUGUACAUCCCUCUGCCACACAUAGAGCUGGAUACGCAGGUGAGCGCCUUCCCAGUAGAGGUGGAAUAGGGCAGUGAUUGUGAACAGAUUAUGGAGCCCUCUGCUGGGCUCAAAUCCUGGCUCUGCAGUCCUGGGUGGGCUGUGUGACCUUGGGCAAGUUGCUUUUGCUCUGCUGAGGCUUCAUUUCUCAAUUUAAAAACGGGAACCCUAAUAGCCCCUUCCUCACAGAGCUGUUGUAAAGGUAAGUAUGAAUCACCAAACCCCAAGCAAAUGUUCCACACAAAUUAUUAUUGUUGUUACUGUUAUUAUUACUAUUACAAUUUCCCCUUCUUUUCCUAUCACUCUCCCUCCUUCUGGGCCACUGGCUUUCUUGUAAUUCCUUGAAUAUGUUCUUUCCUGCCUCUUGGACUUGGCAUUUGCUGUGGCCUCUGCCUGAAUCAUUUUUGCUCUACAUUUUCAUGAGAUAAGUUCCUCUGAUUCAGGUCUUUGCUCAAAUGUCACCUCCUCAAGGAGACCUUAGAUGAUUAUCUUAUCUAACACUCACACAUGCACCCACCCACGUUUCACUCUUUACCCUUUUACUAUUUGCACAGCACUCAUGGCUACCCGAAGUUAUUAUAUAUAUUAAUUGCUUAUCGUCUGUCUCCCUCCCUAAAAUAGAAGCUCCCGUAAGACAAGGACUUUGUAUUCCUUGUUCAUGGCCAUAUUCUAGAG
This 3357-nucleotide long non-coding RNA is filed under the name Sus scrofa (pig). Its description in RNAcentral is "lncRNA (ENSSSCG00015074669.1)". Lineage: Eukaryota; Metazoa; Chordata; Mammalia; Artiodactyla; Suidae. The record is from RNAcentral.